RNAcentral lists this long non-coding RNA (364 nucleotides) under Musa acuminata (dwarf banana). RNAcentral describes it as "long non-coding RNA (MACU_LNC008626)". Lineage: Eukaryota; Viridiplantae; Streptophyta; Magnoliopsida; Zingiberales; Musaceae. The record is from RNAcentral.
AAGGGGAGCGGGCAGUGGUGGAGAAGGAGGCAGCGGUGGUGGUUGCCUCGCUGAGGGCUGGGAUCGAUGAGGAGAAGAUUGCGGUGACUGGCAGCGGCAGCGGUGGAGCAGGCAAUGGUGGUCGGUGGGCAGAAGUAGAGUUUCCUUCUCGAUUGAGAAGGCAGCGGUGGUCGGUGGCCGCCGGCUUCACUCUUUCUCACAUGAUCACUUUCCUUCUUUUCUUUUCUUUUUUUCCUGCAUUCCUUUUUUUUUUUUCUUUUGAGAUGAUGAUGACUACAGCGAGAACAGUGAAAACGCCGAGGAUCGCUGCUCUGAUACCUAAUGAUAAGACCCGAAAAUCUUAUCGUAAAAGAAAUGAAAUAAA